RNAcentral lists this ribosomal RNA (423 nucleotides) under uncultured bacterium. Its description in RNAcentral is "bacterial SSU rRNA". It matches the Rfam family "Bacterial small subunit ribosomal RNA", at positions 358 to 774 of the family's 1533-position model. The record is from RNAcentral.
GGAAUCUUCCACAAUGGACGAAAGUCUGAUGGAGCAACGCCGCGUGAGUGAAGAAGGUUUUCGGAUCGUAAAACUCUGUUGUUGGAGAAGAACACGUUUGAGAGUAACUGUUCAGACGUUGACGGUAUCCAACCAGAAAGCCACGGCUAACUACGUGCCAGCAGCCGCGGUAAUACGUAGGCGGCAAGCGUUGUCCGGAAUCAUUGGGCGUAAAGGGGGCGCAGGCGGGGACGCAGGUCCUUCCUGAAAGUUCGGGGCUCAGCCCCGUGAUGGGAAGGAAACCGUGUCUCUUGAGCGCGGGAGAGGGAAGCGGAAUUCCUGGUGUAGCGGUGAAAUGCGUAGAUAUCAGGAAGAACACCAGUGGCGAAGGCGGCUUCCUGGACCGCGGCUGACGCUGAGGCCCGAAAGCCAGGGGAGCGAACG